Chiroxiphia lanceolata (lance-tailed manakin) is the source of this 2357-nucleotide long non-coding RNA. RefSeq lists it as uncharacterized. Lineage: Eukaryota; Metazoa; Chordata; Aves; Passeriformes; Pipridae. The record is from RefSeq and is a predicted model, not a curated record. The transcript is spliced from 4 exons.
CAGGUUGAAACAUCAUUUCAGUAAUUUCAAUGGACCCUCUGUAUUUUGUUCUAAGUACUCAGUUUACACAUCUACCAAAUAAUGUCACACCUCAGAGCUCUGCCUCAGGAGAUAUGGGACGGCUUCCAGAAGCAUUCUUUUAGGACCUCUUCUCCCUUCUGUUCUCAGCUUUUACACCUAACAGGUUGUUCCACUCUUAAAAUAGCCCAGAGCUUUGUUCCUCUUCUGUUCAUGGCAAAAGAAGUGCACAACUACCUCUCCAACGUUCAGGAAGAGAAUGGGUGAAACAAGCUUUUCCAGUUUUCAGGAGAUUUUUACACACUUUCAUCCACAGAACUCCAAGAACCAGUCACAGAAAAUAGCACUGCCGUUGACAAUUCACCAUGUUGUCAAUAGUUACUGUCAUUACCUAAUGAUCCAUUCAUAUGAUGUGAAUCCAUUCCACCCAGUCCACUCAUCGGCCCAUCUGACCCUGGUCCCAGGGGAAACUACAAAAGGAACAGACAUUAAAAACUGUACAAAUAUUUUUUAGACAACCUAAUAAAGAGAAAAUAUUCCUCAAGAGGAAAAAUAAAAACAGUAAAGGAAAAAUUCACAGUCCCAGCUCUGAAUGAGAAGGGACUCUCAAGUUCCAUUCAGACUUUUAAGAGAAGGUCUUCUACAUGAAGACAGAAAACCAUCAUUGCUAUUGGUCACUUUAAUGAUUUUUGGAGACUGUCAUCUCUGUAGGCUGGUCUAUAACUUAGGAAUAAUUUAUUAUUUACUUAAACACUAUAUGUAUGACUUUCCAACCUGCUGGUGCUGACCAAACCCUACUCCCAUUGACGUUACAGGGAACUUUAUUACUCCCUUAAAUUAUUAAUUUAAGUCAUUAAUUACCAGCUUUCAAACCCUGACUGCUCCACAUUACCUUUGCAACUGGAGCAGUUUCUGUCCAAUUUCAUAUAUUAAUCUUAAAUUUACCUCUUCACAAAAUUAAAGACAUCAACAUUAUGACAAAAACAAUCUACAAUUUACUGCAUAAUGAUUUAUCAGUAUUUAUAGAUAAUUAUUUUUAAGUUCCACUGGUGGUUUUUUCCCAAGGGCCCACAACUGAAGGGCCACCCAUAAGAAUGGAAAACUUAGCAAUAAUGCUACCUGAUGGAAAUGCAAUGUUUGGAUACACAAAAGGCUGCAUAAUUCAAAGAAACAUACAGCUAAAUUCAUAUUUACAUUAGGUCUGUUGGGUCCAGGAGGUACAGCAUUCAUUAAAGUGUACAUGUUGUCUCCAGAGUUGGUUGAAUCUGUAAUAAGAUAUUAUUUUAAGCGCUAAUAUACACUUUUCAAUAAAACUACUCACCUAAUACAUUUCCUGUCAUUUCUGUGCCUGGAUCCCUGAUACACAGUGGCAAGAUAAUGGAAGAUUUUAUUCCCUUUCUACCCGUUGCUGCCACACAAGAAAAGAAAAAAUUGCCAUGGUCCCUCAGUAACUACCUCUGGUCUCUGGUUUUUAUGCAUGACUGUUAAAAGGUUUAUAAAUCACCAAGUAUCUGUAACUAUUUAAUUCCAUAUUGCUGUUUCCUGGAGUCCUAAAUUACUUCACUCAUCUUCAAUAUUCUCUAUAAAACAGGAGUUUGUUUCUGAUCAAUGCUUCCUGCAAUUUGUUUUCCAUCUGUAAGAAAAGAUAAAACAACUUUUCCUUACACAGACUGUGAGCUAGUGAAGGUUUUUUACUCUCAUGCCUGUCAGUCUAUUUGAUUUUGGGUAUAUCCAGCUCCUCAGUGGGACACUGUGCACCAAUCUCCACUCUUGAGGGAGGCUUUGUCUUCAUGGUAUAGCAUGGUGCAAUGCUUCAACCCCCUCCCCCAAACGUUGAAAACCUAAGGAAAGUCUAAACGCAUCCCUAAAGGUACAGCAUGAUUUAACAGAAAAUAUUGGCAACCCCGGAAAAUAAUUUUUUUCUGCAAAGAGAAUAAAGAGAGCUCAGCACUCUGUACCCAGACCCUGCACAAGGCCAUUCCACAUCCAAUGCAUUUCUGUGUACACAGGGAAGUUAAAUCAAGGCUUUUGUCUACAGUUUCAUCUUCCUCAAAUGACUCUCUAAGUGUUAAUUUAAAAUAAAUAAUUGAGUUAUAUACAGAGCACUAUAUAUCACUAGAAUAUUCAAACAUGCUGUCCAAAGAAAAGGGGGACACAAAAGGCUUUCAGCCUAAAGUAAAAUCAGCAUUUUAAGUUAUUUUUAAUAUUCAGUAAGGUAGGCAAAAAGUUCUUUAUCCAAGAUACAUCCCUGGCUCUGCCCAUGUCCUGCUAGCUCAUGAAAAAUACACAUGGUUGGGCUGUGGGAAUCCUUGAAUUGUUUGUCUCAGGGGAGAGAGUAA